This is a long non-coding RNA of Spinacia oleracea (spinach), 1232 nucleotides long. RefSeq lists it as uncharacterized. The transcript is spliced from 2 exons. NCBI's taxonomy places the organism in Eukaryota, Viridiplantae, Streptophyta, Magnoliopsida, Caryophyllales, Amaranthaceae. The record is from RefSeq and is a predicted model, not a curated record.
AUUAUUAUUUUUAUUUUAUUUUAUUAUUUUCACAGGUCUUGUGAAUAUGCGUACAAAGUGAAAAAUUGGUUAAGUAUGAAAGGAUCUUGACAAAAUCCAAAAUAUUAAAAAGUUAAUAAAAAUUAAUAAAAGAUUGUCUUAAGCUCAGACACCACUUAUGUUACAUUUAUAAGGUUAUAGUGUAUUGUUUUAGAUCAAUCCCAUUUAAACAACAACUACUCAAAUACUUCCUCCGUUCCUAAAUAGUUGCACCGUUUUGACUCUCACGUUUGCCAACGCGUAACUUUGACCAUCACUACAAAAAAAACAUGAUAUAACGACGGAUUUGAGCGACCGAAGUUUUAACCAUCGCUAAGCUAGCGAUAGACUUUGAGGAUCUGUCGCAAAUUUCUUUCAACGACGGAUAAUAAUUUAUUUGUCGCAAGCUGAGCGACGGAUUAUUUAAUCCGUUUCUAGUACAACUACAGACUUUUAUUUCCGUUGCUGGUCCAACGACAGAUAUUAAUUUCCGAAGCUAUACCAGCUACGGAUUUUUAUUUCCGUAGCUAUUCCAGCUACAGAUUUUUAUUUCCGUAGCUAGACCAGCUACAAACUUUUAUUUUCGUUGCUGGACUCAGCGAUGGAAACUCCAUUUCCGUUGCAAGAUUUUUAUUAUUUUCUUUAUUUAACUUAAACUGAAAAUCGACAACCCAACUCACAUAGUAUAUAAAUAAAUAUUUAGGGUUAUAUUGCGCCUCUCUUCUCCUUUCUCUCAAUAGCCCCUUCUCCCUCCUUUCUAAUAUCCACUCUGAAUCGAUCUGUCUCUUCCCAUGUUAGACUUUGAUGGGGUUUGCUGAGAUCUUCGACGACAAGAAGGAACACAUAUCAAUUGUCAUUUUCUCUCUUUCUAGUCUCUAUUCAUUGAUCUUUUUAGAGAUGAGGAGAGAGAAAGAAGAGAAGUGGGUAUUCUGAAUUUUAAUGGACGAAUUGCAUUUGCGUCUCUUACUUUGGAUGGAAUGUAAAUAUAUGUAGUCAAUUUGAUCGAUAGAUGUAGAUAGAAACUAAAAUUAGAGUCUGAAGAUGUUUUUGAGCAAAGAAGACGGAGAAAAUCGAGACUGUGUUUACAUUAAGAAUCUUAAGAUAUUACAUAUCAAGUUUGUAUAUAGUUCUAUUAUUUGUAUAUUACAAAUCAAGUUUGUAAUGCAAUUGAAAAGUGUAUAUCUAUAAAAACAUCCGAAAAUUUAUGGAAUUCA